This 725-nucleotide ribosomal RNA is filed under the name uncultured bacterium. RNAcentral's name for it is "bacterial SSU rRNA". It matches the Rfam family "Bacterial small subunit ribosomal RNA", at positions 48 to 770 of the family's 1533-position model. The record is from RNAcentral.
CUUACACAUGCAGUCGACGGUACNUGGGUGCUUGCACCCGAUGACGAGUGGCGGACGGGUGAGUAACGCGUAGGAAUCUGCCUGGUAGUGGGGGACAACUCGGGGAAACUCGAGCUAAUACCGCAUACGCCCUACGGGGGAAAGCGGGGGCUCUUCGGACCUCGCGCUAUCAGAUGAGCCUGCGUUGGAUUAGCUAGUUGGUGGGGUAAAGGCCUACCAAGGCGACGAUCCAUAGCUGGUCUGAGAGGACGAUCAGCCACACCGGGACUGAGACACGGCCCAGACUCCUACGGGAGGCAGCAGUGGGGAAUAUUGGACAAUGGGCGCAAGCCUGAUCCAGCAAUACCGCGUGUGUGAAGAAGGCCCGAGGGUUGUAAAGCACUUUCAAUUGGGAGGAAAAAGCAUGGGUUAAUACCUCAUGCCUUGACAUUACCUUUAGAAGAAGCACCGGCUAACUCCGUGCCAGCAGCCGCGGUAAUACGGAGGGUGCGAGCGUUAAUCGGAAUUACUGGGCGUAAAGCGUACGUAGGCGGUUAAUUAAGUCAGAUGUGAAAGCCCCGGGCUUAACCUGGGAACUGCAUUUGAAACUGGUUAACUUGAGUUUAGUAGAGGGGAGUGGAAUUUCAGGUGUAGCGGUGAAAUGCGUAGAGAUCUGAAGGAACACCAGUGGCGAAGGCGACUCCCUGGACUAAAACUGACGCUGAGGUACGAAAGCGUGGGUAGCA